GGUCCUAUAGUCUAGUGGUCAGGACGUUGGAUUGUAUUUCCAAAGGCCCCAGUUCGAACCUGGGUAGGACCU
RNAcentral lists this transfer RNA (72 nucleotides) under Fusarium vanettenii 77-13-4. Its description in RNAcentral is "tRNA-Tyr (GTA) (tRNA-Tyr-GTA-5-1)". It matches the Rfam family "tRNA". From Rfam's summary of the family: Transfer RNA (tRNA) molecules are approximately 80 nucleotides in length. Lineage: Eukaryota; Fungi; Ascomycota; Sordariomycetes; Hypocreales; Nectriaceae. The record is from RNAcentral.